This 510-nucleotide ribosomal RNA is filed under the name uncultured bacterium. RNAcentral's name for it is "bacterial SSU rRNA". It matches the Rfam family "Bacterial small subunit ribosomal RNA", at positions 26 to 518 of the family's 1533-position model. The record is from RNAcentral.
GGCUACAGAACGAACGCUGGCGGCGCGUCUUAAGCACGCAAGUCGAACGGCAAGAGGUAGCAAUACCUCCUAGAGUGGCGGACUGGUGAGUAACACGUGGGUGACACACCCUUCAGAUGGGGAUAGCUAUUAGAAAUAGUAGAUAAUACCGAAUACGAGCACAGGGGUUAGAGAUCUGUGAGGAAAGGAGCUAAGGCUCCGCUGAAGGAAUGGCCUGCGGCCCAUUAGCUAGUUGGUGAGGUAAGAGCCCACCAAGGCGAUGAUGGGUAUCCGGCCUUAGAGGGUGAACGGACACAUUGGGACUGAGAUACGGCCCAGACUCCUACGGGAGGCAGCAGCUAAGAAUAUUCCGCAAUGGACGAAAGUCUGACGGAGCGACGCCGCGUGGAUGAAGAAGGCCGGAAGGUUGUAAAAAUCCUUUUGAAACUGAAGAAUAAGCGUUGUAGGGAAUGACAGCGUGGUGACAGUAGGUUUUGAAUAAGCAACGGCUAAUUACGUGCCAGCCGCUGC